This 61-nucleotide small nuclear RNA is filed under the name Tupaia belangeri chinensis (Chinese tree shrew). The record is from RNAcentral. Lineage: Eukaryota; Metazoa; Chordata; Mammalia; Scandentia; Tupaiidae.
GUGCUCGAUUAUGCAGCACAUAUACUAAAAUUGGAAUUAUAUGGAGAAGAUUAGCAUGGCC